RNAcentral lists this long non-coding RNA (1590 nucleotides) under Olea europaea subsp. europaea. The record is from RNAcentral. Lineage: Eukaryota; Viridiplantae; Streptophyta; Magnoliopsida; Lamiales; Oleaceae.
GGAACACAAAGGACAUCUUGAAGAGUCAAAGUAUUCAUAAUGUUCACUGUUCCCAUAUGGGUAACAGGAACCUUGUUGCCAUUUGAUAAAGCAAUUGAAUAAGAAACAUCUGCCUGAAUAGCAGAGAAUAGUGAGGUGGAACAGAUCAUAUGAUCUGUCGCUCCUGUAUCUAAAAUCCAAGGGACAUCUAAGAUUUUAGAAGGCUUUGACUUAACAACAGACAUACAUAAAGAUAUACCAGGAAGUUGGUGUAUAAUUUCAUCAGAUGAAGAAGGAGUGACAAUACUCUGAGCAUUAUUGGCUGAGUGGAUCAAAUGUUGAGGAUUUGUGGUUGGUUUGAGGAGAGCCAUAAGCUAUGAAAUAUGCUCUUGACUUAAGAACACUUGUGAUUUAUCAUUCACCAUUUCCUGUGCAAGAGACAAGGACGCAGUUGCCUGAUUUGCUGAGUAUCUAUUCUUUACAUUGGAUUUGUGGCCUGAUCGGUAUCCAUUGAGCUUGAAACACUUAUCUGCAGAAUGACCAGGAAUCUUACACUGUGAGCAAAUUGGUUUCUAUGGAUUGGCUUUGAAACAUCUUUCAAUUGAAUGCCCUGAGAUUUUACACUAAGUACAAUAAUAUGUGUCCCUUUUCUGCUUAGAAACGUUCUAUUUUCCCUUCUCUUUGAAACUCACUCUGGAAAGAAGAAGCCAUCGACUCACGUACAUACUCAGUCGAUAUUUCUCUCCUUUUCUCCUCUUGUUGUGCUAUUGAAUAAACCUCAUUUAGGUUAGGGAAGGGUUCGAUUAACAAAAUUUGUGCCUUAAUUCCCUUGUACGAAUCAUUCAAACCCAUCAAGAACUUCAUCACCCAAUCCCUCUGUUGAUUCUGAACAACAGUCCUUAAACCCCCACAGUUACAACUAGGAAUAGUUUCAUAAUUCAAGGGUUUUUAGUUUUGAAAAAUAAAGACUCACAGGUUCUUGAUUCUGUAACAGCAUGGAUAAGGCUUGUUUGAUUUCAAAAAUUUGAGGCGCAUUUUGCUGAGCAAAAUGUUGCUCCAAUUCAAUCUAAAGUUGGUGUGCUGUCUCAGCAUGUGUGGUACUACGCUUGAUGUCAAUGGACAUUGUGUUUAGCAUCCAGGUAAUUACAAUGUCGUUACAGUGUAGCCAAUACUCCAUGAGAGAGUCAUUUGGGUCGUUGGUUCACGUAUGCUAUCGUCGAUGAAUCCUAACUUGUUCUUGAUACAUAAUGCCCUCUUCAUUGAUCUGGCCCAUAAGUGAUGGUUAUUGGCAUCCAAGGUAUGAGUGACAAGCAUGGCGCCAGUACUAUCAUUGCUACCAAUGAAAUAUGGGCUACUAGGAUGGGCAGGAUCGUGUAUAACAGUAUUAGAGUUAUCUGACAGGUUGGUGUUUGGAUUUUAGCUUUGGGAUUGAUUUGAAUUUGGGUUUCCAACGUCUGAAUCCUCCAUCCCUUGCUCUGAUACCAUUUUAGAAAUGCAAGAAAACAAUAUAAUCAACUUCUGCAACAGUAAUUGAAGAGAAUGGAAAAGGGUUCUAUUAAUUUUCUCUUAUCAAUCUUCUGCACCCAAGGCCAGUAUAUAGGCCUAUUUUAC